This is a long non-coding RNA of Anopheles coustani, 356 nucleotides long. RefSeq lists it as uncharacterized. The transcript has 3 exons. The record is from RefSeq and is a predicted model, not a curated record. NCBI's taxonomy places the organism in Eukaryota, Metazoa, Arthropoda, Insecta, Diptera, Culicidae.
UGCAGCAUCAAUUUGAUUGCAUGUGGGAAGUGCUUGCCCCCUGAACAAUAUUCUACGAAAUUUGGUUACGUCAUGCAAGGAACGAGAAAAAACGAGAACAGUUGUGUAAAAUGUGAAUUGUUUCCGAUACGGUUGUUCCUCUGAUUGCCAGUGAUGAAAUCGAUUUUGUUAAGUAUGAUUCAAUACGGUGUUUGAAAUAGAUACGGUGUUAGAAAUUUGAUGCAGAUUUAAUCAAUCGUUAGUGCAUAAUCUGUUUUGCUGUGCAAUUAAGUUCAAUGAAGAGAAUGCAGCGAACGUGGGGGCUCAAUAAGAGUUAGUACUUCCAGUCAGAGAUCAGAUAAGUAUUUUAUUGAACC